GUGCUCACUUCGGCAGCACAUAUAUUAGAAUUGGAACGUUCCAGAGAAGAUUAGCAUGGCCCCUGAGCGAGGAUGACAUGCAAAUUCGUGAAGCCUGCCAUAUAUAU
Small nuclear RNA from Microtus ochrogaster (prairie vole), 107 nucleotides. Lineage: Eukaryota; Metazoa; Chordata; Mammalia; Rodentia; Cricetidae. The record is from Ensembl.